RNAcentral lists this ribosomal RNA (254 nucleotides) under uncultured bacterium. RNAcentral's name for it is "partial 16S ribosomal RNA". It matches the Rfam family "Bacterial small subunit ribosomal RNA", at positions 524 to 776 of the family's 1533-position model. The record is from RNAcentral.
UACGGGGGGAGCAAGCGUUGUUCGGAUUUACUGGGCGUAAAGGGCGCGUAGGCGGUCGUGACAAGUCACUUGUGAAAUCUCCGGGCUUAACUCGGAACGGUCAAGUGAUACUGUCGGACUAGAGUACAGAAGGGGCAACUGGAAUUCUCGGUGUAGCGGUGAAAUGCGUAGAUAUCGAGAGGAACACCGGUGGCGAAGGCGGGUCUCUGGGCCGAUACUGACGCUGAGGAGCGAAAGCGUGGGGAGCGAACAGG